UGUAGCAAUACAUUGGUGGCGACCGGCGCACGGGUGAGUAACGCGUAUGCAACCUACCUAUCAGAGGGGAAUAACCCGGCGAAAGUCGGACUAAUACCGCAUAAAACAGGGGUUCCACAUGGAAAUAUUUGUUAAAGAAUUAUCGCUGAUAGAUGGGCAUGCGUUCCAUUAGAUAGUUGGUGAGGUAACGGCUCACCAAGUCCACGAUGGAUAGGGGUUCUGAGAGGAAGGUCCCCCACACUGGUACUGAGACACGGACCAGACUCCUACGGGAGGCAGCAGUGAGGAAUAUUGGUCAAUGGGCGAGAGCCUGAACCAGCCAAGUCGCGUGAAGGAUGAAGGAUCUAUGGUUUGUAAACUUCUUUUAUAUGGGAAUAAAGUGAGGAACGUGUUCCUUUUUGUAUGUACCAUAUGAAUAAGCAUCGGCUAACUCCGUGCCAGCAGCCGCGGUAAUACGGAGGAUGCGAGCGUUAUCCGGAUUUAUUGGGUUUAAAGGGUGCGUAGGUGGUUAAUUAAGUCAGCGGUGAAAGUUUGUGGCUCAACCAUAAAAUUGCCGUUGAAACUGGUUGACUUGAGUAUAUUUGAGGUAGGCGGAAUGCGUGGUGUAGCGGUGAAAUGCAUAGAUAUCACGCAGAACUCCGAUUGCGAAGGCAGCUUACUAAACUAUAACUGACACUGAAGCACGAAAGCGUGGGGAUCAAACAGGAUUAGAUACCCUGGUAGUCCACGCAGUAAACGAUGAUUACUAGCUGUUUGCGAUACACAGUAAGCGGCACAGCGAAAGCGUUAAGUAAUCCACCUGAGGAGUACGCCGGCAACGGUGAAACUCAAAGGAAUUGACGGGGGCCCGCACAAGCGGAGGAACAUGUGGUUUAAU
Molecule: ribosomal RNA, 877 nt
Filed under: uncultured bacterium
Lineage: Bacteria
Description: bacterial SSU rRNA
Rfam family: Bacterial small subunit ribosomal RNA
Source: RNAcentral